RNAcentral lists this ribosomal RNA (451 nucleotides) under uncultured bacterium. Its description in RNAcentral is "bacterial SSU rRNA". It matches the Rfam family "Bacterial small subunit ribosomal RNA", at positions 349 to 793 of the family's 1533-position model. The record is from RNAcentral.
CAGCAGUGGGGAAUAUUGGACAAUGGGCGAAAGCCUGAUCCAGCCAUGCCGCGUGUGUGAAGAAGGCCUUCGGGUUGUAAAGCACUUUCAGUAGGGAGGAAAGUUGGUGGUUAAUACCCAUCAGCCCUGACGUUACCUACAGAAGAAGCACCGGCUAACUCCGUGCCAGCAGCCGCGGUAAUACGGAGGGUGCGAGCGUUAAUCGGAAUUACUGGGCGUAAAGCGUACGUAGGCUGUUACUUAAGCUAGAUGUGAAAGCCCCGGGCUCAACCUGGGAACUGCAUUUAGAACUGAGUAGCUAGAAUGUGUGAGAGGUAAGUGGAAUUUCCAGUGUAGCGGUGAAAUGCGUAGAGAUUGGAAAGAACACCAGUGGCGAAGGCGACUUACUGGCAUAACAUUGACGCUGAGGUACGAAAGCGUGGGUAGCAAACAGGAUUAGAUACCCUGGUAG